GCCCUUCUGGCCCUUUCCUGCCAGCUGAAUGCUCAGAGGUGGAGGGGUGCAUAGUCUCCAGCUGCUUCCUUCUUUGUUGCCAUUCAGAGUGCAGGGAGUGCUCCGUGCAGGAAGAGCUGCUGAUGGUGGUUGGUGAGGAAGGAGGUAAUGGAGCUGGGGCUGAGGAGGGCCGGUGACGAGACGGAGACGGGGCGGUCCUACCUUCCCUGAGGUUCCGUGCCGGGAGCUGGGGCACAAGGCCCUAGACAUCUGUGGAAUUUAGGGAGCAGAAGGACGCAGCCCAGGACUUGGUCUCCGGCCUCAGUGAACAUGAGCUUGAAGGAAAGGCUCUGUGAGAGUGUGCAGGGUCCCUGGAGCCACCAUCGCGAUGACAAAGGACAGACUCAGCCCUCACACCUCUGCCAGGACUCUGCUGUCAUCUACAUUCUCCAGAUGGGGAAACUGAGGCACGGCGUCACACAGAUAAGCAACGUUCUGCAGAUGGAGAAACUGAGGCACGGUGUCACACAGAUAAGCAACGUUCUGCAGUGAGAACCCCUUCUUCCCUCCUCUGGGAGGCUGAACGUCACAUCACCUGACCAGUGACUGCCAGAUUUCCACCAUCACAGGCUGAGGCAUCCAUAGAUUCCAAGUCAAGCUUUGAGGAAGAUUCUACCAAUUGUUCCAUGGAACCACCUAGUAUUUCUUUUUACUGAUUUAUAAAGCAAGACUACAAACUGAUAUCCAAGCUUCUUUAACAUAUUACAAUAAAGACAAGCAAAAACUGUUUGAGGAACAUUUAUUGAAUAUUCCAGAUGAAGGAAAGACACUGUUCCAGAGUCAGAGGGAAAAGCAGAAAUUCUUCUUCCCACAGUGAUGGAUAUGACUACAGUAACACAAUAUUUUUCAAAGUAGUGUUUUGAAAAAUGAGCACCAUAUCUGAAAUACAAAUGAAAAACUGUGGAAAUUGUCAAGCCCAAGGACAUGACAUAGUGUGGUGUCCCCUGAUAAAGGGGGAAGAGAUGUAACUCCCAAACCUACUAGAUAUCUGAAACUCGAGUUCAUGUUUUCUAAAAUCAAAGGAUGAAUUCUAGGAGCAACUGAGUUUAAGGGUAGAAAAAAUUAUUGCUUCUCAGCGUUUUGGCUAAGAUCAAGUGGAAGAGUAGGAAAAAUUUAUUGAGAUAAAGAAAACUUCUGCCUGAGAGACAGAAGGCUGACCAGAAAGUGGGUCACCCAUCCAUCCUACUUUUCAAGGAUGUUUUAUACAAUAAAGACAUGUGGUGAGUGUUGCACCCAGUGAGAGAGAACCAACCAGAGACCGAUAUUAAAUCCACACAGGAGUUUAUUACCGGCCAGGACCGAGCUGAGCAUCGGACUGGAGCCUCGAUGGGGGGAAAUUAACAUAUUUUAUACACCUUUGAGGCCAGCAGUUUCUAGGCCCCGCCUAUGGGAUAGAACUAGUAAAGCAAGC
RNAcentral lists this long non-coding RNA (1450 nucleotides) under Heterocephalus glaber (naked mole-rat). RNAcentral's name for it is "lncRNA (ENSHGLG00000047202.1)". Lineage: Eukaryota; Metazoa; Chordata; Mammalia; Rodentia; Bathyergidae. The record is from RNAcentral.